GCUGCAUGGUUGUCGUCAGCUCGUGCCGUGAGGUGUCGGGUUAAGUCCCAUAACGAGCGCAACCCCUACCUUUAGUUGCCAUCAGGUUAAGCUGGGGACUCUAAAGGAACUGCCUACGCAAGUAGUGAGGAAGGCGGGGAUGACGUCAAAUCAGCACGGCCCUUACGUCCAGGGCUACACACGUGCUACAAUGGCCGAUACAGAGGGCAGCUACCUGGUGACAGGAUGCAAAUCUCCAAAGUCGGUCCCAGUUCGGAUCGGAGUCUGCAACCCGACUCCGUGAAGUUGGAUUCGCUAGUAAUCGCGCAUCGGCCAUGGCGCGGUGAAUACGUUCCCGGGCCUU
Molecule: ribosomal RNA, 343 nt
Filed under: uncultured Sphingobacteriales bacterium
Lineage: Bacteria; Pseudomonadati; Bacteroidota; Sphingobacteriia; Sphingobacteriales
Description: bacterial SSU rRNA
Rfam family: Bacterial small subunit ribosomal RNA
Source: RNAcentral